RNAcentral lists this ribosomal RNA (253 nucleotides) under uncultured bacterium. RNAcentral's name for it is "partial 16S ribosomal RNA". It matches the Rfam family "Bacterial small subunit ribosomal RNA", at positions 524 to 776 of the family's 1533-position model. The record is from RNAcentral.
GACAGAGGGUGCAAACGUUGUUCGGAAUUACUGGGCGUAAAGCGCGUGUAGGCUGCUCCGAAAGUCGGGUGUGAAAGCCCUGGGCUCAACCUAGGAAGUGCACUCGAAACUUCGGAGCUGGAGUCCUGGAGAGGAAGGCGGAAUUCUCGGUGUAGAGGUGAAAUUCGUAGAUAUCGAGAGGAACACCGGUGGCGAAGGCGGCCUUCUGGACAGUGACUGACGCUGAGACGCGAAAGCGUGGGGAGCAAACAGG